This 499-nucleotide ribosomal RNA is filed under the name uncultured bacterium. Its description in RNAcentral is "partial 16S ribosomal RNA". It matches the Rfam family "Bacterial small subunit ribosomal RNA", at positions 28 to 507 of the family's 1533-position model. The record is from RNAcentral.
GACGAACGCUGGCGGCGUGCCUAAUACAUGCAAGUCGAGCGGACCGAACAGGAGCUUGCUCUUGUUCGGUUAGCGGCGGACGGGUGAGUAACACGUGGGUAACCUGCCCGUAAGACCGGGAUAACUCCGGGAAACCGGAGCUAAUACCGGAUAACACCGAAGACCGCAUGGUCUUUGGUUGAAAGGCGGCUUCGGCUGCCACUUACGGAUGGGCCCGCGGCGCAUUAGCUAGUUGGUGAGGUAACGGCUCACCGAGGCGACGAUGCGUAGCCGGCCUGAGAGGGUGACCGGCCACACUGGGACUGAGACACGGCCCAGACUCCUACGGGAGGCAGCAGUAGGGAAUCUUCCGCAAUGGACGAAAGUCUGACGGAGCGACGCCGCGUGAGCGAAGAAGGUCUUCGGAUCGUAAAGCUCUGUUGUUAGGGAAGAAGAAGCGUCGUUCGAACAGGGCGGCGCGGUGACGGUACCUAACGAGAAAGCCCCGGCUAACUACGUG